Molecule: long non-coding RNA, 1684 nt
Filed under: Triticum aestivum (bread wheat)
Lineage: Eukaryota; Viridiplantae; Streptophyta; Magnoliopsida; Poales; Poaceae
Description: long non-coding RNA (TAES_LNC017007)
Source: RNAcentral
CCGCCGCCCCCAUCUCCCGACCUCUUCUUCGGGCGCGGCCGCAGGAGCAUCUCCACCUCUCCACUCCCUCACGCAACAGCACUCCAAACCCCCACCCCCACGCCCGGCUGCCGCUAGGGUUUCUUACCCUCGCUGCCCCGCCGCGACUCGUGUUGCGGGCAGUGAGGAUGGGAGCGGGUCGGUCGUGUCGCUUAGUGGGUGGAUGGUUGGGGAACGGCGGAUCCAGGCCCUGGCGUGGUCCUCUCCCUUCAACUCGCGCCGCCGACCUGGGCUCCCUCUUCUUCCACGGCCACAGCCUGGGGUUGCUGCCGGCUAGACGAAUAAUUAUGUGCAGGCUGCCACGACAAAGGGUUUGACUCCUACACCAAUCUCAUCAAGGUAAGGUGGCCUGCUAGACGAAUUACACUCAGAUUAGUUCAAUAUAUAGUGAUUCAGCCAGCAAAGGACUAAUAAUUAUGUGCAGGCUGCUGUUCUUGACACUCCUGAUGUUGUUUUUCAGAGCAAUGCCACGCUAAGGUAUAUAUUGUUACAUAAUCUGAAUCCAAGUCUUACUGAUUCUACACCUAAACUGACCGCUAUUUUCUUUUUUUCUUCAGUUGCUCGUUCAAAGGGUGACAACCUGCUAUGGGGUGGUUCUCUUAUUGAACAUGUGAGUAAUAUAACCUGCUAUGGGGUGGUUCUCUUUAUUCCACACUACCUAAACUGACCACUGUUUGCAAGCUUUAGUGCUUACUUGUUAAUAAUCAUGGGGUUCGGACCACGGUACUAGCGUCCCCUUGUCAUUGGCGGCAGCUUGGGUGAUUGAUCUAUAUAUCAUGAGUCAGGCUGAAUCACGAGUGAUUAAACUGGUUUUAGCAUGAGCUUGCAGUAUACAAAAUCUGAAUUUUUCACCACGUUCUGUAUUAAAUAGGAUGAACUAAGAUGAACCAUGUAUUUUAGUUCUAAGGAGAUAGAUCAUAAUUGUUGUGUGCUAAUACUUUGAACGAACUCCUUUUUUAAUCUUUGUGUAGGUUUUAUAUUUCUGCAGAAUUAUGUGAUGGAGCCUUGAUAUGUACCAUGACUUAAGUUCUGGACGUGCAUCGAGUAAAUGCAGCAGCCUUGAUGUUUGAAGUUACAGGGGCAUGGACUCUAAUUUGCAACCACAAAGUUUAUACCGUUGUUGUGUGGGUCAGUCUGGUAUGUUCCUUUCAUAACACAUGGAAUGCUUUAUUCCUCUGUCUACCUUGUCUAACCAUAUUUUUGUCGGUAUUUAGGGAAAUUUGCACAUCCAACUAUUUGAUCUGGGAAAUGCAACGCCUCGCCACAGAAGGGGGCUAGCCCGUCCAUGCUCACCGGUCUGGUUGUCUGGGGGCGAGGAGGGGGCGCAGCCGCGCCCGGAGGAGGUCAUCUCGGCGCCCGCAUCCUCGUCGUCUACAUUGCCCACACAGCAGGUCGUCGCUGCUGAUUAGAUCCUCUUGAAAAUAGUUAAUUUAAACUCAAGUAAAAAAAUCCCAUGUUGUUUGCUGGCCUCUUUUGAAGUUUAUUCUAACUUGCUAUUGAUUAGAUCCUCUUGCAGUUAUGUUGUGUUGUUCCAUAAAUUGCAGGCUUGAUGUAUAUAUCUAUGACUGUUUUCCCAAGAAUAACAUGCAGACGACGGCCAACGCAUUCAUGGUGGAGGGAAAGAUUGGUGUUGAUCCUGUUUGUA